Molecule: long non-coding RNA, 832 nt
Organism: Dermacentor silvarum
Lineage: Eukaryota; Metazoa; Arthropoda; Arachnida; Ixodida; Ixodidae
Exons: 3
Source: RefSeq, a predicted model, not a curated record
UUGCGGUGGGCUGCGUUUCGCGCGUUUUUCGAGUGUCCCGAAUCUUCCGGCGGCGGUGUUUGUGCAGACACGUGCAGGCGUUGAACUGUGCUUUCGGCACACACACAAAAAAGGACCAUAAAACCCAAGUGAAGACCAACGCUGUGAAGACGGCCCUGUGGAGGCAAGUGGCAGCGAUCGUUCUGUCCGGUGUGCAAGACGGUGUGUCACCGCUGUGAAAAGCGGAGCGGGAGCCGAGGAAGGGAGCUGGCGAUUGUUCCUGGCCGUUUUUCGGGCUCUGAGCUGUGCUCCCUGCAGGGAAGCAGACAUAGUCUCUCCCUCUCCUCAAAUUCUUCUGGGACACCAUGGAAACAAAACCCACAUUGGACAACAUUCAACUGCCUAGCCAGCAGCAGCCUGUCGCAAGCCAGGAAGAAGAGCCAGAAAGCAUGUCCCAGUUUGGUCUUGUGGAUGUUCUGGAGGCACACAAGUUCGAGAGAGAGGAGAAUAAGUCGGUGGUGACGGGGGUGUCACUGCCAUUAGUGGCAGCACCUGCACCUCGUUCACACGCACCCUCAGUGGCGGCAAGAUCAGCUUUGUCCAUGUGCAGAGAACGGAAGGGCCAGGCCACGGCUGCAGGUAAAAGAAGAAAGCGAAACAAAGAUGAUUUUCGGGUACAGCAGCCGGGGCGGGUGUCCCGUGCCCUGGAAGUUACCCGGCCAAUGGAUCACCACGAACUGUUCGCAAUGUCGCUAGUCUCAUUAAUGAGACUAGUAAGCGCUGACAAGCAACUGAAAAUGCGCAUAGAGCUAUUGCGUGUUAUCGAGAAAUAUAUGGAUUAAUUUUUCUUUCA